Molecule: unclassified non-coding RNA, 244 nt
Filed under: Hevea brasiliensis (rubber tree)
Lineage: Eukaryota; Viridiplantae; Streptophyta; Magnoliopsida; Malpighiales; Euphorbiaceae
Source: RNAcentral
GAUGGUCAAAGGAAACAGGGGGUUGAAGGGGAGGAAGAAGAAAAUUAAGCGAAUGGUUGGUGGGUAUUGGAUCAAUGGUAGAAGGGAGAUUAGGGUAGUGUUUUAGGAGCUUUUUGAGGGGUUUGUAACAGAGAAAUUUGUCCCUCCACUCGGGGAGGGUCUGUUCCAGAUGGGUCUUGAAUUCCUUCCCAAAUUUCAUACCCGGAAGCUCGAAAGAUUGGAGUUGAAGAUGAGAAGAAAUGAG